GCGGGCGUGGCGGAAUUGGCAGACGCGCUGGAUUUAGGUUCCAGUGUCGGAAGACGUGAGGGUUCGAGUCCCUCCGCCCGCA
Molecule: transfer RNA, 82 nt
Filed under: Micrococcus cohnii
Lineage: Bacteria; Bacillati; Actinomycetota; Actinomycetes; Micrococcales; Micrococcaceae
Description: Micrococcus sp. WS4601 tRNA
Rfam family: tRNA
About the family: Transfer RNA (tRNA) molecules are approximately 80 nucleotides in length.
Source: Rfam by way of RNAcentral